Molecule: microRNA, 20 nt
Filed under: Salmo salar (Atlantic salmon)
Lineage: Eukaryota; Metazoa; Chordata; Actinopteri; Salmoniformes; Salmonidae
Description: ssa-miR-181a-3-3p
Gene: ssa-miR-181a-3-3p
Source: miRBase by way of RNAcentral
CAUCGACGGUUGGCUGUACC